GUAGGGAAUAUUGCACAAUGGGCGAAAGCCUGAUGCAGCAACGCCGCGUGCGCGAUGAAGGCCUUCGGGUCGUAAAGCGCUUUUCGGGGGGAUGAGGAAGGACAGUACCCCCGGAAUAAGUGACGGCUAACUACGUGCCAGCAGCCGCGGUAAAACGUAGGUCACGAGCGUUAUCCGGAUUUACUGGGCGUAAAGCGCGUGCAGGCGGUCAGGUAAGUCGGGCGUGAAAUCUCUCGGCUCAACCGGGAGGGGUCGUCCGAAACUACCAGACUAGAGGGCAGUAGAGGGAGGUGGAAUUCCCGGUGUAGUGGUGAAAUGCGUAGAGAUCGGGAGGAACACCUGUGGCGAAGGCGGCCUCCUGGGCUGCCCCUGACGCUCAGACGCGAAAGCUAGGGGAGCGAACGGGAUUAGAAACCCGGGUAGUCC
RNAcentral lists this ribosomal RNA (426 nucleotides) under uncultured bacterium. RNAcentral's name for it is "bacterial SSU rRNA". It matches the Rfam family "Bacterial small subunit ribosomal RNA", at positions 354 to 796 of the family's 1533-position model. The record is from RNAcentral.